AUUUGAAAUGUUUUAAGCCAUUAUUUAAAGACGUUUACUAUAAUUCGUUAACAGUGAGCAUCUUUAAUUUUCUAGUUCGCGGCUUCCCUUUUCCCCCGUUUUCGAACUAAAGCUGAAAGCGCCCUCUCUUGGAUGUUCAUGCAAGCAAUCAUUCUCGAUAGCGUUCAGUUGCGAAGUGCUCAGAUUUGUUAAAAGUUAACUUAAGUGGUGUUUUUUUAAUCAAUUGCGAUUCGCCAAUUGCAAGUGCAAGUGCAUAGACAAAACGGGCAAAGACAAGGUUAGCCGCUGAAAAAGCCGUCUUGGCUUUAAAUCAAAACAAGUGCAGCGAAAAAGGCAAACAAGAAAACCAACAACACUGCACAGAACAAAUUUGCAGAUACCGGCGGAUUCAACGCGCACCGCACACGCCUGACAACAACAACAACAUCAACAAGAACAGC
RNAcentral lists this small RNA (440 nucleotides) under Drosophila yakuba. RNAcentral describes it as "GE28967". Lineage: Eukaryota; Metazoa; Arthropoda; Insecta; Diptera; Drosophilidae. The record is from RNAcentral.